AUUGAACGCUGGCGGCAUGCCUUACACAUGCAAGUCGAACGGCAGCACGGGUGCUUGCACCUGGUGGCGAGUGGCGAACGGGUGAGUAAUACAUCGGAACAUGUCCUGUAGUGGGGGAUAGCCCGGCGAAAGCCGGAUUAAUACCGCAUACGAUCCACGGAUGAAAGCGGGGGACCUUCGGGCCUCGCGCUAUAGGGUUGGCCGAUGGCUGAUUAGCUAGUUGGUGGGGUAAAGGCCUACCAAGGCGACGAUCAGUAGCUGGUCUGAGAGGACGACCAGCCACACUGGGACUGAGACACGGCCCAGACUCCUACGGGAGGCAGCAGUGGGGAAUUUUGGACAAUGGGCGAAAGCCUGAUCCAGCAAUGCCGCGUGUGGGAAGAAGGCCUUCGGGUUGUAAAGCACUUUUGUCCGGAAAGAAAUCCUUGGCUCUAAUACAGUCGGGGGAUGACGGUACCGGAAGAAUAAGCACCGGCUAACUACGUG
Molecule: ribosomal RNA, 486 nt
Filed under: uncultured bacterium
Lineage: Bacteria
Description: partial 16S ribosomal RNA
Rfam family: Bacterial small subunit ribosomal RNA
Source: RNAcentral